GGGGAUGUAGCUCAGUGGUAGAGUGCUUGCCUAGCAUGCACAAGGCCCUGGGUUCAAUUCCCAUUACCA
This 69-nucleotide transfer RNA is filed under the name Heterocephalus glaber (naked mole-rat). It matches the Rfam family "tRNA". Rfam says of the family: Transfer RNA (tRNA) molecules are approximately 80 nucleotides in length. Their secondary structure includes four short double-helical elements and three loops (D, anti-codon, and T loops). Lineage: Eukaryota; Metazoa; Chordata; Mammalia; Rodentia; Bathyergidae. The record is from Rfam by way of RNAcentral.